UGGUGGGUAGUUUGACUGGGGCGGUCUCCUCCUAAAGAGUAACGGAGGAGCACGAAGGUUGGCUAAUCCUGGUCGGACAUCAGGAGGUUAGUGCAAUGGCAUAAGCCAGCUUGACUGCGAGCGUGACGGCGCGAGCAGGUGCGAAAGCAGGUCAUAGUGAUCCGGUGGUUCUGAAUGGAAGGGCCAUCGCUCAACGGAUAAAAGGUACUCCGGGGAUAACAGGCUGAUACCGCCCAAGAGUUCAUAUCGACGGCGGUGUUUGGCACCUCGAUGUCGGCUCAUCACAUCCUGGGGCUGAAGUAGGUCCCAAGGGUAUGGCUGUUCGCCAUUUAAAGUGGUACGCGAGCUGGGUUUAGAACGUCGUGAGACAGUUCGGUCCCUAUCUGCCGUGGGCGCUGGAGAACUGAGGGGGGCUGCUCCUAGUACGAGAGGACCGGAGUGGACGCAUCACUGGUGUUCGGGUUGUCAUGCCAAUGGCACUGCCCGGUAGCUAAAUGCGGAAGAGAUAAGUGCUGAAAGCAUCUAAGCACGAAACUUGCCCCGAGAUGAGUUCUCCCUGAGACUUAAAGUCUCCUGAAGGAACGUUGAAGACGACGACGUUGAUAGGCCGGGUGUGUAAGCGCAGCGAUGCGUUGAGCUAACCGGUACUAAUGAACCGUG
This 660-nucleotide ribosomal RNA is filed under the name Salmonella enterica subsp. enterica serovar Mikawasima. Its description in RNAcentral is "partial 23S ribosomal RNA". It matches the Rfam family "Bacterial large subunit ribosomal RNA", at positions 2259 to 2912 of the family's 2925-position model. The record is from RNAcentral. Lineage: Bacteria; Pseudomonadati; Pseudomonadota; Gammaproteobacteria; Enterobacterales; Enterobacteriaceae.